Camellia sinensis is the source of this 312-nucleotide non-coding RNA. Lineage: Eukaryota; Viridiplantae; Streptophyta; Magnoliopsida; Ericales; Theaceae. The record is from RefSeq and is a predicted model, not a curated record.
UUUGAAAUCAAAAAGGGAGAUGUAAGGGUGCUCUGGAAGCAGCCGAGAGAGAGAGAGAGAGAGAGAGAGAUCCAUUACUUAUAUGUAUAUGGUGAUCGAUCCGCUGGUGCAAACCGUGGGAAAACAAGAGAUGAAGAAUAAUGAAGAAGAAAGCUUAUGGGUAGCCAAAAAUUCAAGCUAAAAGUUGUAAAAAAAAAAUUCACCUCAAGGUCACGCGCCAUUGUCUGCCUGAUUUAUCUAAUAUGUCCAGUCCAUCUGAUUUGCUUCUGCAACCAUCUGUGAUCAGGCGCGUGACCAGGCUUGGAGGCAUCU